Molecule: long non-coding RNA, 462 nt
Filed under: Drosophila guanche
Lineage: Eukaryota; Metazoa; Arthropoda; Insecta; Diptera; Drosophilidae
Source: RNAcentral
GCUAACGGAGCGUGUUGGUGUGAGAAGUGUUGUAGAUGUAGAUGACAGAUGAAGAAAAAUUUUACAAUUUGACAAAACACCGCUAAGGUGCAGAUGUAGUACUGAGUGCCAACGAGUUCCAUUCUCGUUGAAGGUAAAAUGGUGUUAGAAAUACAGACCUCGAAAAAUAUAGAUAAAGUGGGAUGAUGCGGAUCUGCGGGAAAAGAUAUCGGCUUGUCUCUUAAAACCGCUGUACGAGAGGCAUCGCUGACAAAGAUAAGAUCUAACAGUCUAUCUCUAUUAUUUCUGACAGAGUUAAUUUGAGCAAGCGAGACGUCAGGUACCCCCUCGACGAAAUCAUGUUGACUUUCAGGUAGCAACAUGUUUGAUUCAUCCUGUUGCCAAGAUAGAGAUAAGAAACAGCUCGGACGCAAAUGCCGUUUCCACUGCAAUAAGAACCCCACCAGCGAAUGAUGGACGAUC